RNAcentral lists this unclassified non-coding RNA (354 nucleotides) under Hevea brasiliensis (rubber tree). The record is from RNAcentral. Lineage: Eukaryota; Viridiplantae; Streptophyta; Magnoliopsida; Malpighiales; Euphorbiaceae.
UUUUCAGUUUCUAGUAAAACAUUGCAUGUCUUGCAUGUCUUCUCCAAUUUCCAAUUUCCAAUACAAUCACGGUUAUAUUAGCCAUAAACUUAUUGUAUUUCUUGAGAUUUUUUUCUUUAAUUAAUAAGACACAUGAAAACUCGAUGGAACUUGUUUCUACUGGGAAAUAGUUUCAUCUGAAUGUCAAGAGUGUAGCGCUGGUUAGACAUUAUUUGAGCUUUUGAAAUCUGUACGUGGCCGAAAAAUAAAGGAAAAACCAUGGAGAUGCUUUUAUUUUCUAAUUUGAUGAAUCUCAACUAAAUUUCCCAACUCCCUGUGGUUGUCCUUUGAAGGGAAAAUGCUGCUGAUGUGAAG